Molecule: ribosomal RNA, 438 nt
Filed under: uncultured bacterium
Lineage: Bacteria
Description: bacterial SSU rRNA
Rfam family: Bacterial small subunit ribosomal RNA
Source: RNAcentral
GAUGAACGCUGGCGGCGUGCUUAACACAUGCAAGUCGAACGGGAUCCCAGGAGCUUGCUCCUGGGUGAGAGUGGCGAACGGGUGAGUAAUGCGUGACCGACCUGCCCCAUACACCGGAAUAGCUCCUGGAAACGGGUGGUAAUGCCGGAUGCUCCAGUUGACCGCAUGGUCCUCUGGGAAAGCUUUUGCGGUAUGGGAUGGGGUCGCGUCCUAUCAGCUUGAUGGCGGGGUAACGGCCCACCAUGGCUUCGACGGGUAGCCGGCCUGAGAGGGCGACCGGCCACAUUGGGACUGAGAUACGGCCCAGACUCCUACGGGAGGCAGCAGUGGGGAAUAUUGCACAAUGGGCGCAAGCCUGAUGCAGCGACGCCGCGUGAGGGAUGGAGGCCUUCGGGUUGUAAACCUCUUUUAUCGGGGAGCAAGCGAGAGUGAGUUACC